Molecule: long non-coding RNA, 1695 nt
Organism: Salvia splendens (bonfire salvia)
Lineage: Eukaryota; Viridiplantae; Streptophyta; Magnoliopsida; Lamiales; Lamiaceae
Exons: 2
Source: RefSeq, a predicted model, not a curated record
CCCCAUCUCCAUCGGCUAACACCCUCUCAUUUCACAUUUCAUUCCUUCCCCAUCUUCACAAAUUUCCCAAACGAAACCCUAGCCUCCAUCGGCACCGCCCUUGAAAUUUCGUCAUCUCUCUCCACGCCGACCGUCUGUUAUUCCGGCGGGGAGGCUCAAGGCGUCGCCAUUUCUGCUUCACCACAUCUCUGACCUCACGGCUCUCCCUCGUAGUCAGCGACGAGCUGCCUCCUUCUCGGCGUUUCCUCUGUGCCAUCGGAGCUCGCCCUUCUUCCUCGUCUCUGUCGCUUGGAAACCCCUUUCUCAACUCAAUUUCAGAAGCUAAUUUAGGAAUGGAGAAGACCCUACCCUCCUCCUUUCCUCUCGUCACAUCCAACUAUCACCAUCGUUCACCUCCGUCUUCGGUGAUACCCAUCGCGUUCUAUCGCGUGGGGAGUUGAGUUGGCAAUCGUGUGGAUUUCCACAACCUUGGUGACGCCAGGGCGCCGCUGUCGUUUCGCCACCGGAGUAGCUGCUGCCCCGCAGGCAGCUCACAGCUUCUGCCGACCUCAUACGCUCAUCCGUCGGCAAGUUCGGAGCCUUCCUUUGUCUCCGCCGGCAAUGCUCGCUGUCGCCACCGCCCAUGAGCCAUGCCGCUUCCUCGGCAAAAGCUAAGUCUCCAGUUCUUUUACAUUUAGCUAAUAACGUGUUUUUUUUCUUAAAUUCAUGGCAUCAUGAGACUCAGGCUUGAGGGCAAGCUGAGCAAAUUAGUUUCUAAGCUUGAACACAGUGGUACCAAUCUUAUCUUGUGUUAUAUUGUAUUCUGAUGUAUAUGGUGAAAUUUUAGCAUGCUGUGCUCUAGAGUUUCUGCUGUGAAACCAUUUUUGAUCACGAAAACUGAUCAUGCCGUGACUUCUAGUGUAAGAUGUGUUUAUAUGAUGGCAUGGUUCGUGUCUGAGUUUGAGAGGAAGGUGGAUGUUUACCUUCUUUGCUCUGCUCCAGCUUCUGCUCCUAGCCUCGGUUCUCCUCAGCCUUUAUCUUGCUGAUUUGUGUUGAUAUGUGAUGAUAAAGAGAGGAAAUGGAACCUAGGGGUGGCAUUUAUAGGAGCUUGUAACCGAAAGCUGCAACAACUUGUUGUUUGACUGGCAAAAGGCCUUAAAGCUGCCCUAUGUUGGUUGAUUCCUCCCUGCAGCUUGCAGGCCGUGUACUUGUGAAAUUAUGGUGGCUGCCACAUAGCCUCAGUUUCUGGCUGUCCUUUAUGCUGAAAUUUAACCGAAAAUGGCUCUAUGUGGGGGUUUUAGCACUUGGUUCAUUUGUUGCUUUUGUUGGUUUAGGGCAGGUGUACCACAAUUGACUGAUUUUCCUUGCCAAUGGCAGGUAUGAAUGGAGGGGUACAAGCUGCAAGUUCUCAGCUUUGCAGUGUGCGACUGGUGGAGUGAGAUCUGCCGGCUAUGCUUGCCUUUUCCAGCCAAUCCUUCUCCCAUUUUCUGAAAGGUAUUGGCAGCGCUCAAGGCUAGCUACCGAGGUUGCUUCCCUCGUGGUCUCGCCCUAUCGGACUUUCUGGAAUCUGGGUCGAGACAUCCCGGUGACGAAGGCCAACGUAGUUUGUUAGGGAUUUCUAAAUGUAAUAGUGUAGCUCGACUCUUAUUUUCAUUUUUCAUGUAGACCAGUCUCUGAAAUCUUUAAUAUUUAUUCAUUUCAAGCAUUUGCCCUUUA